This 1180-nucleotide long non-coding RNA is filed under the name Meleagris gallopavo (turkey). RNAcentral's name for it is "lncRNA (ENSMGAG00000018022.1)". The record is from RNAcentral. Lineage: Eukaryota; Metazoa; Chordata; Aves; Galliformes; Phasianidae.
UUAGAAGAGUGCAUUCAAGAUGAAGUCAAUAGAGUUAUCAUGAUGGUAAGUUAAGAAGUUCAAUAUUCUGCCCUCUUGGAACCAGCCAUGAAGGUAGGAUAUUAGCUUUUUCAGCCUAGAUCAUUAAACUCUUUCAAAAAUGGGCUGUCAUGCUGUUAAUUACCCUAGUAACUAAAAGGCCGUGUGUAAUUUCCUUUUUUCUCAGGAACAAGUUCAAAGUGAUGUGGCUCGCUAAUUUCUAUCUUACCUGAUAAUGCCAGGCUUUUCAUGGAGCCUACCAGACUAUGUACAGAAAAAGAAGAGACAUCAACUGUCUUGAUUUUUUUUUUUUUUAUUCUACUUCAGUGACUUGGAGUGGAUGUAAACAUAUCAUUGCUGAACUGCCCUGUACCACAGCUUUCACUGUAAGGCCACAAUAGCACUGUGAAACAAUACAACUACUUUUUGUUUGAAGGAUCUUUAGGAAACUGUUUAAUAUAUGCACACGUAUCUUGCUACUUUAUGCCAUGGUAACAUAGAGUUUACAUCUUUAUCAACCGUGCAAGAGAAGGAUUUGUCAUCUCUGGGCCAAGCCUCCAUCUGCCUCAUGGUGUCGCAGACUUCUCCACUGUGUACCACCCUAACAGCACUAAGAUUUUGUUCAUUCAGUAAGAUGUUUGCAGAGUUCAAGGCCUAUAAGAUACUUGGGAAAAAGAAGAAAAUAGCCUCUGGAAGCUCAGAAGCCAGUGAUGUUUGAUCACUGUUUUCCUGUCCUGACGGGAAAACAUGGGGAAAAUAUGUUAAGAUGCACAUACAAUCAAAAGGCUAAUUCAAGGAUUUGGAGGAGGUUUUUGCUCUCUCAUAGUUAUCCUUUUUAUUUAAAUAAUACAAAAUAGUCACUAGAUGUCUCCACUUCACCACAAAAUAUAUUACGAUAUAUUCCAUUUAAAGCGAGGAAAUGCUUGUAUGCUUAUACAGCCUUUUAAAAAAUUAUUAUUUCUACUAAAUAACCUAAUGGAGAUAAUUAGAGUGUGAAGGAUAAAAACUUGGAAAAUAAAAAGGCAAAUAAGAUGGAUAUUGGCUACAAAUUCACGAACCACAGAAGUCUUAGAGGCGGGCAUUUUCUAACUGAUAAAAGCAGAGUAAAGAAUUAUAGAGAUACUGAGAUACAAGUGCACACCUGUAACUGGCAUAUCACCUU